Molecule: long non-coding RNA, 823 nt
Organism: Bos indicus x Bos taurus (hybrid cattle)
Lineage: Eukaryota; Metazoa; Chordata; Mammalia; Artiodactyla; Bovidae
Source: Ensembl
CAAAAUAAUUUCUAAUUCUCUGUGAGCACUAAUAAAUAAUGUAUUCUUCCUUUUUCUCCAGGGGAAGUAUAAAGUUGAGUUAAUGGCCAGAUGGAAAUAAAGCUAGAAGUUCUCUCAAAUAUCGGAUACUGAAGAUGUAUUUUUUUAACAGCCAAUUUUCCAUCUUGUAUGUUUUUUAAAUAUUAGUAAUGUAACAGUACUAUACAUCAGUGAAAAGAAUAAAAUAUCACUGCACACACCAAUUUGGAUGCAUCUCAGAAGAUAUUAUUAAGUGAAAAAAUCAAGUUGCAGAAGAAUUCAGACAGUGAUUCCAUUUAUAUCAACUCAGAACAUUCGAAACUAAAUCACCCACUGUGUGAGAAUAUCAACAUGUGUGUCAAAGCACGGUAAGGAUAAUUCAAGAUUCAGGGUGGUGGUUCCUUCUAAGAGCAGUAUGACAUCAUGGAGUGAUACAUAGAGGCCCUUAAAAGUGUCCCAAACACUCCAUAUUCCUUAUUUUGAGUGGUGGGCACAUGGUGAUCAGUUUUAUUGUAAAUCACUCUACCUUAUGCACAUAUUGUAAUUAAAUUUUUGUAUCCAUUCAGUGUUUAAUAAAAACAGCUAAAACUAAGUUGAGAACAUGCAUAUCUGUGUAGAGUAAAAUUUUCUCCCCUAUUGUAUGGUGUUUCCAUGUUCUUUCUCUAUUUCUUAACAGACUUUCAUGUUUAAGUAAACAGAUAUUUCAUGAGAAACAUGAAACAGAACCUUGUACUUUGGGAGUCCUUCAUAAAAAACAAAACAGCAUCAACAACACAAGCCAUGGAUAGGCUAUUCACUGCUAAAG